GCGUGCGCAGGCGGUUUUGUAAGUCUGUCGUGAAAGACCCCGGGCCUCAACCUGGGAAUUGCGAUGGAGACUGCAAGGCUUGAAUCUGGCAGAGGGGGGUAGGAAUUCCACGUGUAGCAGUGAAAUGCGUAGAGAUGUGGAGGAACACCGAUGGCGAAGGCAGCCCCCUGGGUCAAGAUUGACGCUCAUGCACGAAAGCGUGGGGAGCAAACAGGAUUAGAUACCCCUGU
Molecule: ribosomal RNA, 230 nt
Filed under: uncultured bacterium
Lineage: Bacteria
Description: partial 16S ribosomal RNA
Rfam family: Bacterial small subunit ribosomal RNA
Source: RNAcentral